AGGUGGGUUGUUUCUGACUGGAAUUGGGUGUUGGUUUACAUUUGUUAUUUGUUUACACUAUCACUAUUAGUUUCUUCUUUCUUUAUGUUUAUUUAUUGUUAAGUGUGCAGGUCAUUUUAGAUCCAGAUUCAGUUUCAUAUUGAUGUAAAGUGUCCAGUUCAGGCAUCAACUUCUAUUUUUUAUGUUACGAAUAAGAUUAUACUUUGAUUUUUUCUUCUUCUUUUUUCCUCACGGGAUUAUUUUUUUAUACAGGAAUUAAAAGCAAAAUGAGGAUCAGAGUUGGAGGGAGUUAUCAAGAGUAACAUGAAAGCAGAACAAAAGGGAAGCAUCAUGGUGAGUCAACAUAAGCACCGAUCAUGACUUCUUCGAGCAGUGAACCAAAGUCGCUCUUCUUCGUGGACAAGUCCAAAGAUCCAAUUUGCUACAUGAGGCUUCCAAAGAAGAUAGUAGUAAGAGAGCAUAAAAUUGCUGCAGGAGGAGGUUCAUGUACAAGCAGCAGCUAAAAGGAUUUCAGGAUCAUAAUUUAAUUGUCAUGAUUUUUUUAUUUUUUUAUUUUUUGUUUUCUGUUUUCCUUUUUCAAUGGUUGCAAUACUAGCUUCAAUUACUAUAUUUUGGUGUAACGAGUUUUGUUUUAAAUAAAGACUUAUUCAAUUGCAUCUAUACCAAA
Molecule: long non-coding RNA, 667 nt
Organism: Prunus avium (sweet cherry)
Lineage: Eukaryota; Viridiplantae; Streptophyta; Magnoliopsida; Rosales; Rosaceae
Source: RefSeq, a predicted model, not a curated record